Non-coding RNA from Cladobotryum mycophilum, 91 nucleotides. Lineage: Eukaryota; Fungi; Ascomycota; Sordariomycetes; Hypocreales; Hypocreaceae. The record is from the annotation of a GenBank genome assembly.
GGUGUGCUGGCGCAAUGGUAGCGCGUAGUCCUCCUAUUGUUUCAACCGAGCAAUAAGACUAAGGCUCUGGGUUCGAGUCCCAGGUAUACCG